UUCAUUUUCAAUGAUGCAGAGGUAGGAUAUGGCUUGGUAGCCAGCUUAAUUUAUUUAUGAAUUUAACUUUUGCAAUUGGACCUCUCCAGUUUACAAAGACUGGAGAUGACUUGGUCUGCUUUAUGGUAGUCUAUAGUAUACUUAUGCAUAUACUAGAUGUUUAGCUUAAACAUGAUAGUCUUACGUUGUCAAGCUCAGUUGCAAAGAAAUGUUGAUUUUGUAUGCUGAAAUAUAUUCUGAUAUCAAACCAAAUAUUUCUACUUGGAAACUUAAUAGAUUGAUUUGCAGGUGUAUUUUAGGAGAAGUAAGUGACAGCUUUCUGUUUAAGGGAGAAAAAGAUGCUUAUUAUAAUUUAUUUAUCUUCCGAGAAUAAGUGAAUAACUAUGACAAUUGUUGAUAUAGGUUCAU
This 408-nucleotide unclassified non-coding RNA is filed under the name Hevea brasiliensis (rubber tree). The record is from RNAcentral. Lineage: Eukaryota; Viridiplantae; Streptophyta; Magnoliopsida; Malpighiales; Euphorbiaceae.